AACGAACGCUGGCGGCAUGCUUAACACAUGCAAGUCGAACGAGACCGUCGGGCCUUGUUGCGCUCCUGUACGUAACACCUGGGAACUUACCCUUAGGUUCGGUAUAACUCCCUGUAAGGGAUGUUAAUACCGGUUAAUGUCAUCGGACCAAAGAUUUCCUGCCUUUGGGUGGGGGCGGGUUGGUUUAGCUGGUUGGUAGGGUAAAAGCCUACCAAGGCGACGAUCCAUAGCUGGUCUGUGAGGAUGAUCAUCCGCAAUGGGACUGAGACACGGACCAGACUGCGACGGGAGGCAGCAGUGGAGAGUAUUAGACGAGGAGCGAUAGCGUGGUCAAGCCAUGCGGCGUGAGUGAGGAAGGGCUUAGGAUUGUAAAUCUCUCUUACACGGGAUGUUAAUGACAGUAACGGGUAAAGAAGCUCCGGCUAACUACGUG
RNAcentral lists this ribosomal RNA (433 nucleotides) under uncultured bacterium. RNAcentral's name for it is "partial 16S ribosomal RNA". It matches the Rfam family "Bacterial small subunit ribosomal RNA", at positions 29 to 507 of the family's 1533-position model. The record is from RNAcentral.